This 586-nucleotide long non-coding RNA is filed under the name Rattus norvegicus (Norway rat). Its description in RNAcentral is "long non-coding RNA NONRATT009555". The record is from RNAcentral. Lineage: Eukaryota; Metazoa; Chordata; Mammalia; Rodentia; Muridae.
GGGAGUUGGAGGGCCUCUGUGGCGAUGAAGAAACGGGGAAGGCAUGCUAAGGGAGUGAGCCAGUGUGUCCCUCUCUACGCCUCAGUCUCCUCAUCUGGAGUCUGAAGUGGCCGGGUGACAAGUUCAAGCCCUCCAUAGCUUAAGCUAAGCAGCAGCAGCUGGAUGUGGAGAGGGCAGCCUCGGGGCAGGAAAGGCCUGUGGGGUGGGGCAAAGGUAGGACGGGGCUGAAUCCAGGCUCAGUGUUGUGGAUUGCACAUGGGUGACUGGGAGAUGGCUAGAGGGGUUAGAGACCCGGUGCAGAAAGAUGAAUCCCUAAGGAGUUGGUUCCGAUGCCCCUCUUCACUGUCUGUCUGCAUUGCAGGACCCCAUCACCCCUGGCCUGUGACAUUGCCCCCAAGCCUGCACCUGCAGGUCCUCAGCUUACCUGGCUGGCAGUACAGCAGGAACCAUGCCCAGCACCUGAAGAACCUUCAGAGAGGCCACCCAGAGAAACCACAGGUCAACCUACAACGUGUGCUGCUGCGCCUGCACCACCUGUAUGAAGCAGGGGAGGACCCGGUACUGUCUCGGCCUGCUACAGUGGAUC